AGUGAACGCUGGCGGUAGGCCUAACACAUGCAAGUCGAACGGCAGCACAGUAAGAGCUUGCUCUUACGGGCGGCGAGUGGCGUACGGGUGAGGAAUACAUCGGAAUCUACUUUUUCGUGGGUGGUCACGUAGGGAAACUUACGCUAAUACCGCAUACGACCUACGGGCGAAAGCAGGGGAUCUUCGGACCUUCCGCGAGUGAAUGAGCCGAUGUCGGAUUAGCGAGUUGGCGGGGUAAAGGCCCACCAGGGCGCCGAUCCGUAGCUGGUCUGAGAGGAUGACCGGCCCCACGGGAAUUGAGGCACGCUCCAGCCGCCUACGGGAAGGACCAGUGCGGAAUAUUGGCCAACUGGCGCCAGCCUGCUCCCGCCGUACCGCGUGGGUGAAGAAGGCCUCCGGGUUGUGGAGCCCUUUUGUUGGGAAAGAAAAGCCGCACGCUCAUACCCCGCUGUUCUGACGGUACCCAAAGAAUAAGCACCGGCUAACUUCGUG
RNAcentral lists this ribosomal RNA (492 nucleotides) under uncultured bacterium. Its description in RNAcentral is "partial 16S ribosomal RNA". It matches the Rfam family "Bacterial small subunit ribosomal RNA", at positions 29 to 507 of the family's 1533-position model. The record is from RNAcentral.